Molecule: long non-coding RNA, 1251 nt
Filed under: Homo sapiens (human)
Lineage: Eukaryota; Metazoa; Chordata; Mammalia; Primates; Hominidae
Description: HSALNT0376347
Source: RNAcentral
GCAAUGCCAGCCAGUGCCUGCGCGGCUUGCUCCAGCAAGGUAAAAUUUCCCACUGCGAGGCAGGCAGUGAUGCUGCGGCCGCUUCGCACUGUGGCUCCUGCCGACCGCCAGGCGCUGUUACAGUGGAUGCGAACUAACCGUAAGUCAUUAUAUCGUACUGCAGAAACCAGCUCAACUAUGCAAAACUACCACCAGGACUGGCCGACACCAGGAGGGAUUCCAGAGACCACACUGCAGGGAGCAUACAGAAAGAAAAUUAAGAGAUCAGAUGCAGCAGCAGCCGGAACCCACAGUUCACCUUGGUGCAUUCCUUUAUGAUGAAGACUUAUUGAUUCAUUAUAUGAGAAAGGAAAAAUGAGCAGAAACUACUGUAUGAUGUGCAGCUCACACCAGACAGCAACUUUAGAGUAAUUUAUCCCUACUUACAGAGAGAUUGCCCUACGUGUAACAGCUGCAUACAAAAAAGUUAUAAAAUUAUCAUUGGUUUAACAAGGAUAAGUGAAAAACAUUAAAAUUCUCCAACUGAACAAGGUGUGUCUGUUUCAUUGAUUGGCUGACUGUCAAAUCGGAAUCUGAUCUGCCCCAUUGACAAUGCCUUGGGCUUUUCCUCGGCCAUGGCAAAUGCCAGAGUCUUCUCAGCUGCCGCUUCACAAAAGAGGUACCAGCUUCUCACUGAACGAACACAGUGCAGCACCAGGAGUGACAGAAGAAGGAGGCGGCAGCGGUGGUUGAGGGACAGGGUGCGUGCACGUCCAAGUACAGUUCUUAAAAUGUUGAGGGCAUACAACAUAUGCUCAAUAAAUACCUGAUUUUUAAAAAAGACAAUGACUAUGGAAAACUCUUGAUCAUUAACCCGAAGGGAGAGUCUAGUUUCCAGGAAGCAUUUGUUUGUAUACACUAUUUAACCCAAGGAUACACUCUUUUCUCCGUGGCAGCGUGACUCAUCUUAGUCUCCAAUUUUUGACCUGGUAAGGCAUCUUUUUUGGUCUCUUAAUUUCUGGCUCACUUGGCCCUGAUUUGAUGUGAAUGUUCUUACUGACAUCCCAGUGACUGAUUCUCAGCACACCACAACCCCUUUUGGUUCCUACCCUAUCUUCUCUGUGUUGGCAACUGGACUCGCCUAUUCUUCAGGACUUUCAGGAGUGCACACUCUGGUAGCUCUCUAUUGACUUUACUGCUCACUCAUUCUUUUUCUUUUUUUUUGGAGACGGAGUCUCGCUCUGUUGCCCAGGCUGGAGUGCAGUGGCGCGA